AGAGUUUGAUCAUGGCUCAGAAUGAACGCUGGCGGCACGCUUAACACAUGCAAGUCGAACGAGAUCUUCGGAUCUAGUGGCAGACGGGUGAGUAACGCGUGGGAACCUGCCCAGUAGUAGAGAAUAACUUGGGGAAACUUAAGCUAAUACUUUAUACGUCCUUCGGGAGAAAGCUUUAUGCGCUAUUGGAUGGGCCCGCGUUAGAUUAGUUUGUUGGUGAGGUAACGGCUCACCAAGGCGACGAUCUAUAGCUGGUCUGAGAGGAUGAUCAGCCACACUGGGACUGAGACACGGCCCAGACUCCUACGGGAGGCAGCAGUGGGGAAUAUUGGACAAUGGGGGCAACCCUGAUCCAGCGAUGCCGCGUGAGUGAUGAAGGCCCUAGGGUUGUAAAACUCUUUCGUCAGGGAAGAUAAUGACGGUACCUGAAGAAGAAGAUCCGGCUAACUCCGUGCCAGCAGCCGCGGUAAUACGGAGGGGUCUAGCGUUAUUCGGAAUUACUGGGCGUAAAGCGAGCGUAGGCGGAUUUGUAAGUUGGAGGUGAAAUCCCAGAGCUUAACUCUGGAACUGCCUUCAAAACUACAUUUCUUGAGUUUGGUAGAGGAGAGUGGAAUUCCUAGUGUAGAGGUGAAAUUCGUAGAUAUUAGGAGGAACACCAGUGGCGAAGGCGACUCUCUGGGCCAAUACUGACGCUGAGGUUCGAAAGCAUGGGUAGCGAACAGGAUUAGAUACCCUGGUAGUCCAUGCAGUAAACGAUGAGUGCU
This 764-nucleotide ribosomal RNA is filed under the name marine metagenome. RNAcentral describes it as "bacterial SSU rRNA". It matches the Rfam family "Bacterial small subunit ribosomal RNA", at positions 8 to 817 of the family's 1533-position model. The record is from RNAcentral.